This 457-nucleotide ribosomal RNA is filed under the name Enterococcus faecalis. RNAcentral describes it as "bacterial SSU rRNA". It matches the Rfam family "Bacterial small subunit ribosomal RNA", at positions 28 to 463 of the family's 1533-position model. The record is from RNAcentral. Lineage: Bacteria; Bacillati; Bacillota; Bacilli; Lactobacillales; Enterococcaceae.
GACGAACGCUGGCGGCGUGCCUAAUACAUGCAAGUCGAACGCUUCUUUCCUCCCGAGUGCUUGCACUCAAUUGGAAAGAGGAGUGGCGGACGGGUGAGUAACACGUGGGUAACCUACCCAUCAGAGGGGGAUAACACUUGGAAACAGGUGCUAAUACCGCAUAACAGUUUAUGCCGCAUGGCAUAAGAGUGAAAGGCGCUUUCGGGUGUCGCUGACGGAUGGACCCGCGGUGCAUUAGCUAGUUGGUGAGGUAACGGCUCACCAAGGCCACGAUGCAUAGCCGACCUGAGAGGGUGAUCGGCCACACUGGGACUGAGACACGGCCCAGACUCCUACGGGAGGCAGCAGUAGGGAAUCUUCGGCAAUGGACGAAAGUCUGACCGAGCAACGCCGCGUGAGUGAAGAAGGUUUUCGGAUCGUAAAACUCUGUUGUUAGAGAAGAACAAGGACGUUAGUA